This 422-nucleotide ribosomal RNA is filed under the name uncultured bacterium. Its description in RNAcentral is "partial 16S ribosomal RNA". It matches the Rfam family "Bacterial small subunit ribosomal RNA", at positions 355 to 774 of the family's 1533-position model. The record is from RNAcentral.
UGAGGAAUAUUGGACAAUGGGUGAGAGCCUGAUCCAGCCAUCCCGCGUGAAGGAUGACGGUCCUAUGGAUUGUAAACUUCUUUUGUACAGGGAUAAACCUACUCUCGUGAGGGUAGCUGAAGGUACUGUACGAAUAAGCACCGGCUAACUCCGUGCCAGCAGCCGCAGUAAUACGGAGGGUGCAAGCGUUAUCCGGAUUUAUUGGGUUUAAAGGGUCCGUAGGCGGACUUGUAAAUCAGUGGUGAAAUCUCAUAGCUUAACUAUGAAACUGCCAUUGAUACUGCAGGUCUUGAGUAAAUUUGAAGUGGCUGGAAUAAGUAGUGUAGCGGUGAAAUGCAUAGAUAUUACUUAGAACACCAAUUGCGAAGGCAGGUCACUAAGAUUUAACUGACGCUGAUGGACGAAAGCGUGGGGAGCGAACA